AAGGAUUUAAGUUAAAUUAAACUAAAAGCCUUCAAAGCUUUAAAUAAAGAUUAUCUUUAAGCCUUA
RNAcentral lists this transfer RNA (66 nucleotides) under Anthrenus verbasci (variegated carpet beetle). RNAcentral describes it as "tRNA-Trp". The record is from RNAcentral. Lineage: Eukaryota; Metazoa; Arthropoda; Insecta; Coleoptera; Dermestidae. RNAcentral also lists the same sequence under 1 other name.